RNAcentral lists this ribosomal RNA (376 nucleotides) under uncultured bacterium. Its description in RNAcentral is "bacterial SSU rRNA". It matches the Rfam family "Bacterial small subunit ribosomal RNA", at positions 523 to 898 of the family's 1533-position model. The record is from RNAcentral.
AUACGAAGGGGGCUAGCGUUGCUCGGAAUGACUGGGCGUAAAGGGCGCGUAGGCGGUUUGGACAGUCAGAUGUGAAAUUCCUGGGCUUAACCUGGGGGCUGCAUUUGAUACGUCAAGACUAGAGUGUGAGAGAGGGUUGUGGAAUUCCCAGUGUAGAGGUGAAAUUCGUAGAUAUUGGGAAGAACACCGGUGGCGAAGGCGGCAACCUGGCUCAUAACUGACGCUGAGGCGCGAAAGCGUGGGGAGCAAACAGGAUUAGAUACCCUGGUAGUCCACGCCGUAAACGAUGUGUGCUGGAUGUUGGGUGACUUAGUCAUUCAGUGUCGUAGUUAACGCGAUAAGCACACCGCCUGGGGAGUACGGCCGCAAGGUUGAA